AAAAAGGUUUUAUUUAUCUGAAAAUGGGUUUUAUUUAUCUGAAAAUGGGUGUUAUUUAUCUGAAAAAGGGUUUUAUUUAUCUGAAAAAGGGUUUUAUUUAUCUGAAAAUGGGUGUUAUGUCCUGAAAAAGGUUUUAUUUAUCUGAAAAAAGGUUUUAUGUAUCUGAAAAGGGUUUUAGGCGCAAUCUGUGCCCCAGCCAGAUCCAGAUCCAGGAUCCCAGAGCCAGGUCCAUGGAAGGCUAAAGAACCACAAACUCUCCAUGGAAUUCUCCACUACACAGGAAUAAAUAUGGAUAUCGAGAAGAUGAAGAAGAUUAUGAAGAAAGAAGAAGGACAAGAGGCAACACCUUAAAUCUUCUAUUUUGUCUUCUGUUCUCUAAGCUAGUUUAAAUUUUAAGUUUUUCACCCAAUGACUUAAGAAAACUCUAAUUUCCACACACUUUUAGCUUUUCUAUUUAACAGUUGUUUUCAUGGUGUUCUAUGAAAUUCAGAGUUUUCUUGGAUGUCAGAGCCAGGUAUCAGAGAUAAGGGCAUGAACUCUGUGCCUCAGACUACAGCAGGGUGUGGGAGGGAGGUUUUAUCCCUUCUUGGUGCUUUAUUAAUAUAAUAUAAUAUAAUAUAAUAUAAUAUAAUAUAAUAUAAUAUAAUAUAAUAUAAUAUAAUAUAAUAUAAUAUAAUAUAAUAUAAUAAU
RNAcentral lists this long non-coding RNA (690 nucleotides) under Cyanistes caeruleus (blue tit). RNAcentral's name for it is "lncRNA (ENSCCEG00000006436.1)". Lineage: Eukaryota; Metazoa; Chordata; Aves; Passeriformes; Paridae. The record is from RNAcentral.